This 406-nucleotide ribosomal RNA is filed under the name uncultured bacterium. RNAcentral describes it as "partial 16S ribosomal RNA". It matches the Rfam family "Bacterial small subunit ribosomal RNA", at positions 28 to 526 of the family's 1533-position model. The record is from RNAcentral.
GAUGAACGCUAGCUACAGGCUUAACACAUGCAAGUCGAGGGACCGGCGCACGGGUGAGUAACACGUAUCCAACCUGCCCUUUACUCGGGGAUAGCCUUUCGAAAGAAAGAUUAAUACCCGAUAUAAAGGAUGGGGAUGCGUUCCAUUAGGUUGUUGGUGAGGUAACGGCCAACCAAGCCUUCGAUGGAUAGGGGUUCUGAGAGGAAGGACCCCCACAUUGGAACUGAGACACGGUCCAAACUCGUACGAGAGUCAGCAGUACCGAAGAUUAGUCAAUGGGCGCUAGCCUGAACCAGCCAAGUAGCGUGAAAGAUGAAGCCUUAUGGGUCGUACACUUCUUUUAUAUAAGAAGAUGUAUUAUAUGAAUAAGGAUCGGCUAACUCCGUGCCAGCAGCCGCGGUAAUUC